AAAAUUCUUGUAAAAAAAAUUCCCAAAACCUUUCCUACCAAAACUGUACUUACUGAAAUACCAAAUUUCACAAGGCAUAUAGUGAAAACCCUAUUUCUUUUCCCUUUCCCUUCAUUGCUGCUCCCAUUUAUAGGUAAACCCUAUAUUCGAUUUAUCUCCCUUCAGUUUUCUACUUUUCCCCUCUCUUUCUCUGUCAUUAAACAUAAGCUUUGUGCUAUCUACUUCACAAUUUUUCUUCUCAUAAACAUCCACUGAAUUACUUUGUUACAGGUAAGUAUUUCAUGUUUUUGGUUUUAUUUUAUUAUUACUUUUGGUUCAUCUUGUCCGUUGAUCUACCAGGAUUUUAUACAGUUUUCACAAAUUUUUCUUGCUUCUAUUUGGUUGUUUUUACCUAUUUAUGAAUAACCACAAGGUUAAUCUAUAUAUAAUUAAAAAGAGGAUAGUUUGCAAUAGCAUUGUGACAAGUGGCAGUGUAACAGAAUGUCAUGUGUUACAAUUAGUUUAGAAAAUAGUUAAUUAGUUAUUAAGUAAUUAUUAGUUAGUGUUAUUUAAUAAUUAAUUAUAUAUAGAUGUGGAUUUAAAAAAAAAAAAUAACAGGGAAAAAAACAUUCCAGAUGGUGUGGAUACAACUUCCACGUUUCAGUUUUAAAAUUUGGCAAUUAAUUUUCUAUUAAAUUCUUCUGGGAAAAGGAAAAGGAAAAGGGGGAAAUCAGAAAGAAAAAAAAAACCUACUCCUAAAGUAACCCACAUCUACUCCACGUUUCCAUUCCUCAUCUCCAUAAUGGAGCAGUUUACAAAGGGCAAUAAAUCACGAUGCAGCGGUUUGUCAACACUCAUAAUUCUUGACAGAAGUCCUGAAUGUUCUCUGCAAAAAGCUCUCUUUGCACUAAAAGGAAUUAAUGGCGGCUCAAAGUAAUUUUAUUAGCGAAAUUAACACCAAGCCGAUGAAUUGGAGGUUAAAGUGUUUUUGUAGGGCGGCCGAAUUCACGCAAGUGUUGGCAGGAAUAUUAUUCAAAGUUUGAAAACGAUGAACCAAGAAAUCAAGGAAUUGGGUUUGUACAUCAUGAAGAAUUUCAUCGUUUGUCCAAAUAAGGAGAAACUGAGGACCAAAGACCACAAGUGUAAGUUGAUUUUCACGCAGAAGACCAUUGUCGAGGAAAUACAGGAUCCAUAUUUCGACAUGUGUAUCUUCAAAUUCAGACCCUAUGAGCAGUUGUCUAAUCCACAGGACUUUGACAACACCGAACUAUUCGGUAAUUAAAUCUUUUUCCUUUUUUCUUUUACUUUCCGUUAUUUGCUUUCUGUUGUCCAUGGGUUGAACUGAUUGCUAAUACCUACAAACCAAGCUACUAUCUAUAACUAUUAUCUAAAUUAUACUGUUAAACUUUAAACAACAGCCCAUGAGCCAAAGUAGUAAUUUCAAUAAAUCUAAACUCUUUGAGCAUGUGGUGAAUCUCAUGCUUUUACACGUUAAAACCCAAUAUUAUUUCGCAGAACAGGAAAUGAAUCUACUAACAUUACAUAAAAUUAUUUACCGGAGAGAAUGUAUAGGUGGUAGUUUUCAUGAAAUUUCUUAUUAGUAAGAUAGUAAUUGCAGUACUUCCAGUUUCUUUAGAUUCUAUGCAAGAAAAGUAUUAUAGGUUUCUCUCUACUGUUUGUUGGAGGAUCAUUUGUUUUCUUGUGGUGAGUACUAUUGUGGCUAACUGUUGCAACUUAUUUGGAUGAGUCCAGAAUGUUUCUAUAAGCUAUUGUCAUGGUCUAUUUUGAUUAUAUUCUACCUAUUCCAUUUCUUGAAGCCUUGCCUCAAGAUAUCCUGCCUGGUUAGUACAGAAUUAGACUUACUUUAUUUUUACUGUUUGCUGUACUUAUAUUCAUUGAUGCUUAAUUGACUAUAACUGAACUUAUUUCCACUGAAUUAUGGUUGAAUUUAUUUCUAGGUUGAAGCCUAACUAAUUCAUUUUGUUUUACUGUAAAUUUUUUUAAUUGAAUCGUGGUAACCCUGUAUCAUCCAAUGCACGUUUUGGGAACAGAUUAACGCCCACGUAAAUAGAUAACUGUUGCCUAAUCAAGAAAAAAGUAAAAACAAAUAAACAUAUUUGCUCUAUAGUGUGUAUGUUUCUGACCCACUUUUUGUAAACUACCAUCAACACCUACCCCCAGAAUCUCCAUAUAUCUCCCCACUCUUAGCAUUCUCUGUUUCUGCUGCUGCCAUCUUUUCUACUACAUUGUAUCGUCAUGUACUUUGAUAUUUCAUUGUUACUUUGAUGUUUCUGUUCGUGUCUUGAUUAGUUAAAAUAAUUUUUGCUGUCAAUUACUACUAAUUCAAAGUUCUCCGUUAUACAUUUAGCCUGUUGCACGACAAGUUUAAGAUGUCUUGAUUUCAUUUUCUGAAGACUGAAGUACUAACUUGGAUGACCUUUUAAUAUUAUAUUCACUAGCAUAUUAUCUUUGGGGCAAAUGAUUUUUGCUGUCGUGAGUGGUAGGAAUAGCUGCUAACUUUAUAAGAGAUCCAAAAGAUAGAGACUAACUUAUAUGACCAAAUGGAGGAAGUAGUUCCAUUAUCAUGCCAGACGCUACUAGAAAUAAAGGUUUUUUCCACCGUCAUUCAGUGAAAAAUUUAUACUAUAAAACAUGAUUUUCCCACCUCAUUCACAUCGAACAAUCUCACUGAGAAGACGCAUGGUGGAAACAUGUUACCAUUGAAACGGUGGGAAACUUUAUAAUUUUUUCAUGUGAAAACACUACUAUUUAGGUUUUCCCCACUGACAUUCAGUGGAAAAUAGCCACUGAACAUUUUUCUGUGAGAAAUUCAAUGGGAAAAUAGUGAUUUUUAGUAGUGAGAGGCAGCAACACAUUUCUGCUAGAAAGUUUUAUUCAAUGAACGCUCAAAAGAACUGUGGGCUGCAGUAUGACACGAGUGAUGUUGAUUCAUCUUUGACAUUCCUUAAGAAGAGUGGAGGGAAAUCAAUUUUAGGAACGCCUUGGCCUUACACCCCUUCAUAUCGCAACCUGGAUAAAUCACAUUGCAAUAGUUAAGAGGCUACUACUGUUGCAGACCCUAAUGUUAGGUUGUGUUAGUCUUCUGAUCCUUUAGAUGAGCACUUUUUCUUGGACCUAGGAACAUGUCUAAUUAACCAUGAAGCAUGAGCAGACUUAUAAAAUGACAUCACAGCAGCAAAGAACGUAAAUGAAGCAACUUGGUUAUUCAGUUUGUUCUUAAUUGAUGUGUUCUUUUGUAUUUUUUUUAGCCACAUCAUCAUCUAUGGUUUAGUCAUUACUAUUGUUUGCCGUCUGUAUAUUUAGGCACACUUUCGAACUUUAUUGUACUGCAAAUUGAAUGCAGCCCAUGUUUUUGUAAUAAUAAAUUGAUUCACAGCUAAAACUUGAAUCAACUGAAAAAUAUGCGACUAUUGAUAAAGCUUUAGACUUAUCAAUUGAAACUUUUUAAACUCUGUUUAUUACUCUAAGGCCUUAUAAAUUGAUUGAAAAUAUAUGUUUUUUGUCAAGCCGGCAAUUCUUUGAAGUAUUGAAUAAACACCAAUAGAAGUCACUGCUAUCUUAAUAAUCAACGUCACUCAAAACGGCCCAAUUUCUCAACCUCGCAAUGGCUUUAACUGUUGGCAAGCGCAUUAUUAUUUAUUCAAUUUGGCAACAGGAUCAUCAAAUGGUCGCAUUAACCACAGUUGAAAAGGGUAGUAAUCUCCAUCACCGACAAAAAAUUGAAGUAUAGCCACUCCAUUUAUCUGCAAAGAUUGUGAAUUUAAUUGGUUCUUGAAUAUUCAUUUUGGAAUCAAUGGUGUGCUCUGCUUCUGUAGUAGUAGUGCAAAAAUGGUAUAUGCAUGUGGUGCAUUGAGGUUUCUUCAAAUUUCUAUCAGUAUUUGGACAGAUGAGCUUAACGAUAUGAGACGCAAAGAUCAUUUGAGAAUUAACUGUACUUCGGAGAAGAAAAGAGAAGUUAUGUGGCUUAAUAAUUCACUGUUCCUAAACGUUAUGCUACUUAUUUUCCAAUGUUAAGUACUGUGCUAUCUAAUAAAAGGGAUAUACGGAGUUGAUGAAAGGAGAUACGACAUCAACAAAGAUUGUUGCUUAGCAUGUCUAUUUUGCAAAUUCGUGAGCAUUAAUGAUGGAUUGUUUUGUUGAUGGUCGCUAUUAUUCAUAUUCAUUAGCGCACAGGGAGAAGAAUUAUGUUGACCAUUUGUGGCAAAAACAACUGUGAUGAUUUUCCUGGACAGCAAGUACAAUUAAUAAUACCUUCAGCUUUUUACUUUGAUUCAUCAAAAAACAAAGACAAGAUUAUUUUAAGCUGUUAGCAUUCACACAAAACGAAAAAGGGGAACACGUUAACAAUGUACUUCUUUCGUCAUUUGGUCUAUGUCAGAAUAAGUUUUGACUAGAAUUUAUGCUGCUGUAUAAAGUACUUCCAUAUAUUAGAAUUGUUACGGUAAUUUUAAUCUACCAAAGUAUUGUUUAAGAGGAAGUGUUGUUAGGUUCUCACCGAGUGAUUACUCCACAUCACCGUGUCGCGCAUCGCGAGGGUACUUAUACUAGUAUUAGUUAAAAAGUGUUAUAGUAGCUAAACCCAUAUUCCAUUUGUUGUUUUUCUUCAAGAUUUUUUUGGGUUUUGCUUAUUUUUACAGGUUUGGCUUCAAUAUUAUCAUCUUUUUUCUUCUCUGUUUCUCCUAAUUCAUUACUCAUACAGGUUUACAUUUUUCUUCAUUUAUUGAAGUGCUAGUUACUCUCUGAUUACACUUCGAUAUUAUGUUUGUUGUGGGUUUUCUUGUUCAGAUAGCUAUCUACCAUUACCAUAAUGAUUUUUUCCUAGUUAACUUAAAGGAGACUUUAUCCUGCUUUACAAUAUGCUUAUGUGAGAUUUUUCGAAAUUUUGCCGAAAUAUGGGUUUUUGGGUUUCUAGACUAUUGUUUAAAUUGGAUGAAAUUGUGUGCUUUAAAAUGUAAUUGGUAUUACUCAUCAAACCCAUCUCAACAAAGUGUUUUCUCUAAUUUCUGAUCAAUUUGGUAAAAGAAUUGAAAAUAUCGGUGCUAUUUGCGUGUUUUGUGUGGAUGCGGACGCCGGAGCUCUAGUCCCUGCUUCAAUUUUUCUUUUUUCUGCUCAUGUUGUUUCUAGCUAUAAUAGGUAUACGCGGGUACUUUCCACAAUCAUUAUUUUAUUUGAGAGCUUUGUUGUAAAGAUUUUCUUUAACAAUUUUUCCUUUGCCUUUAAUACAUAUAUAUUGUAGAUUUUACUCAACUUUUUAAAUUCAUAUAUUGUGCACCUUGCUAUUUGCAAGUACUAUGUUGUGGUUCUGUUAGAACAUUUGAAAGUUGCAUUUGCAGAUUCAUGAACGGGGUUGCACUUUUCUUCCUUUUCUUUGGGUAACUAACAGAGUUGCAGCACUACAAGAAAAUGUCAAAAUUGUGACGGAAUAUUUGAGAUGGAGCAGUUCUGUCACAAAUUGUGACAAAAUUGUGAUGGAUCAACCUUUCAUACAUAAAAAAUUUUAAAAAACUUUUUUUCCCAUAAAAGUUUUGAGGGUAACGGAUUUGUGACAAAUUUUAAAUAUGAUUUUUGUGACGGACAUAUUUUCGUCACAAAUUAAGGCUGAUAAGAAAAAAUGACAAUUAUUUGUCACAAAUCCGUAACAAAAAUUGUGACGGAUUGAAUAUUCCGUCACAAAUAUAAUAACAAGACAAUUAAUAACAAAUAUAUAAAUUUGUGAUAGAUUUGUUUCCCUCACAACAACAAAAUUAGGCAACUUUUUAAUUUUGGCCCCAAAAAUUUUCACUACUUUUUAGUUUCCCACAAAAAUUUGACCCCAUUACAUUUCAGCAAAAUAGCUUCACUUCCCCCAAAAUUAGACCCCAUUACAUUUCAGCAAAGUAGCUUUACUUUCCCCAAAAUUAGACCCUUCUAAGCUUCGAUUCCGUUAAUUUCUCGAUGAUUUCAGUAAAGUAGCAAGCCGUUCACUUCGACUCCGCUGUCAUCUUCACUAGGAGGUUUAGUUUUUCACUAUUAACCAAAACUUACAGUGAAUAACUUUUGGAUCUUCAUAUUGGGUCCUUCAAUUCUUGCUCAAAUUUGUCUCUGAUUUCCUGUGUAAGUAUUCUAAAGUGAAUAAUUUUUGGAUCUUGUUAUUAGAUCUUUCAAUCUAUGUUUAAAAAAACUCCUACCAGCUUUUGCAUGCACCGAUUUUUGAAUUUUUUGUGGUGGGUCUUCAUCAAACUAGAAUAUUGCGUCCUUCACUUGAAGUGGGUAAAAUUUUGAUCACUUUCUUUCUGAUUUGAACAAAUUUUGGGCUAAAUGGAAAAGCUUUGAUUUUACUAAAGGAAUUUUUUGUUGCAAUGUUGAUUUUCCUAAAGGAACUCCCGAUGUUCAUGAUCAAUUUAUGGUCGCAAUGGUUACGUCCUAAAAAUCACUCUUUGUUAUCAAAAGAAAAGGGUUCGUAGUAUAAGCUUGGUGCCGAAGUUCAUGUUUUACUUUAUAGUAUUAUCAUAGAUGUACUUAUUUCACUAUCUUUUGUAGCUCAGAUCAUUUGAGUGAUAUUCGUAGUAUUAUCCUAGUUGUGCCUUUAGUUUUGAAGCUUAUAUGUCUAGAUAUUGGUAGCUCGUAUCGUCUUAUGGUGUAUUGCAAGAGGAGAAGGCAAAGAGGAGUUCUUUCUUCAAGGUUUGCAUUUUAUAGAGCUUAUUACUUCUUUUUGCUGAUUUGUUGGACUCGAUGAGGAGACUUUGGCGUGAUCACUCAUGUAAGUAUUUGGCGGCACUUUCCGGGUAACUAAUAUUCAUCAUAGAAUCAAGUAAGUUUAGGAUAAAUAGAAAGUAAGUUUAGGAUAACUAGAAUUCUUGAAACUUGACUGAAGAGGUUUUUUAGUUGAUUUUGCUUUUCAUUUUCUUAUAUUCAAAGUACAAUUGUUUCAUUGUUGAUACAGGUGAAUCUGUUGGAGUACAUUAGUUUAUUUGAAUUUGUUAAGUUUAGAGCAUGAAGAGAACAAUGCAAACUAAUAUAGUUAAUUAGUCUAGCUUACCUACUACCUUAGCAGAUGUUUUUGGUAAUAGGAUGCUGGUCCUAAUUCACGGUUAAGAGAAUUCAUUAAUUCAAUUCAAUUACAAUUUAUUGUUGGAUGACAUUUCAUUUUAGAUGGUAACUUGCUUCUAUUUUAAAAGCUUUUAGAGAUGGACUUUGUUUGACUUGAAAAUAAGUAGGUUUGGUAUGUGUGCUACUAGUAUGGGGGUUGUUUCAACAUUUCAUCGAGUCAGAGGGCAUUUCAACCAUUUAUCUUCAAAAAUGGAGGAAUGGUAGUUAUGCCACCCAAUUGUUCGAUGAAAUGACUCAAAUAAAUUUGGAUGUGCUGAAGUCUGAGUAGCCUUAAUUCAUGAAACUCCCCCAGUAUGUGAAGGGGUGUGUGUGUGAGUCCAAAUGAUUGUCUGUUCAUGUCAAGGGGUGUUCAUUUUUAGUGUUAUUAGUUAGAAAUACAUCUAAAUGAUGUUUUGAGAAUAAGAAAUACAUCAAUCACAUUUUUAAACUAAAAAAAAAAUGUUUUACAUGGAGAUUAAUAUACAAGUUCAGUAUGAAAAUUGAUCACUUUUCCAUAUCCUUUUAAGGCUUUUUGUUAAGUGUUUCAGUUAAUAGUAAUGAGAGCUAUGUCGUUCUAAUUGUUUCUGGUGAAAGAAAAAAAAGGUACUUUAUAUGUAGUAAAGAUUAUUUUUUGAGAAUACUAGUUAAAAGUUUUUAAGUUAAAAGAUUGUUAUGACUUUGUUGACAAGGCUGAGUGGUUGGAUCCCAACUCUAUAUCUUCAUAGGUGGUUUGUCUAAUUUGGCUAAGAUAAUUUUUGUUGGUAGCCAGCUUUGAAUACCUUCCCUUUUUUUUUUUUUUUUUGCUAAGAUAAUAUAGGCUAAACAGAUUUUGGAUGAAAUAGUGUUAGAAUCUUUUGGUGGCUCUUCAUCAACCUUUUGUCUUAUCGUGUAUUGCAACUUAUUUUGCAGAAAUGUUCAAGGCUUGCAUUUUGUAGAGCUUCUUACUUCGUUUUGCUGAUUUGUGGGAUUCAGUGGAGGGACUUUGGCGUAAUCAUUCAUCAAAAUAAUUAUUUUGAUAAGGGAGCUGAGGCUAAAACAGAGUAGCUGAUGUAACAGACUGGAGCAUCGUUCUCUAACCAUGCAUAGAGGAGGAGAUUUCACAUUUGAGUGAACAGAGAGAAGGUCGGUUACAUUAUGUGGAGGAGCGAUUUAUGUGUGCAUGAUGAGUGAGAUGGCAUUAUCAUUCCUUCUUCGAUUCUCGUCCCUUUGAUACUGACUCUUCGGAUGCUUUAGUGGUUACUAAUGUUAGACUUUUGUUAACUUUAUACUCAGUCUUUAGUAUUUCUAAAUUUUUAUAGAAGAAUUUAUGUAUUUGCAAUUUUUAAAUUCAUUUGUAAUAUAUUUCAUAGUAUGAAAGUUACAUUUUUGUUAUUGUUAAUUAUUUUGUGCUUUUAGCUAA
RNA transcript from Lycium barbarum (goji berry), 8467 nucleotides. RefSeq lists it as uncharacterized. The record is from RefSeq and is a predicted model, not a curated record. NCBI's taxonomy places the organism in Eukaryota, Viridiplantae, Streptophyta, Magnoliopsida, Solanales, Solanaceae. The transcript has 4 exons.